AGUGAACGCUGGCGGUAUGCCUAAUACAUGCAAGUCGAACGGCCGCACAGUAAGCUCUCUCUUUUACUGUUGGCGACUGGCGGACGGGUGAGGCAUACAUAGCCAUCUUCUUUUUCUUGGAGGACAUCGUAGGGCCACUUCUACUACUACCUCAUACUUUCUACGGCUUAAAUCAGGAGUUCUUCGCAGUUUUCGCGUUUCAUUGAGCCGAUGCCGCAUUAGCUAGUUGGCGUGGUAAAGUCCCACCAAGGCAACGAUCCGUAGCUGAUCUGAGAGGAUGAUCAGCCACACUGGAACUGAGACACGGUCCAGACUCCUACGGGAGGCAGCAGUGGGGAAUAUUGGACAAUGGGCGAAAGCCUGAUGCAGCCAUGCCGCGUGAGUGAAGAAGGCCUUCGGGUUGUAAAGCCCUUUUGUUGGGAAAGAAAAGCAGUAGGUUAAUACCCCGAUGUUCUGACGGUACCCAAAGAAAAAGCAACGGCUAACUACGUG
This 492-nucleotide ribosomal RNA is filed under the name uncultured bacterium. Its description in RNAcentral is "partial 16S ribosomal RNA". It matches the Rfam family "Bacterial small subunit ribosomal RNA", at positions 29 to 507 of the family's 1533-position model. The record is from RNAcentral.